ACGGGAGGCAGCAGUGGGGAAUAUUGGACAAUGGGCGAAAGCCUGAUCCAGCAAUGCCGCGUGAGUGAUGAAGGCCUUAGGGUUGUAAAGCUCUUUUACCCGGGAUGAUAAUGACAGUACCGGGAGAAUAAGCCCCGGCUAACUCCGUGCCAGCAGCCGCGGUAA
Molecule: ribosomal RNA, 165 nt
Filed under: uncultured Sphingomonas sp.
Lineage: Bacteria; Pseudomonadati; Pseudomonadota; Alphaproteobacteria; Sphingomonadales; Sphingomonadaceae
Description: partial 16S ribosomal RNA
Rfam family: Bacterial small subunit ribosomal RNA
Source: RNAcentral